Molecule: transfer RNA, 58 nt
Filed under: Dipodomys ordii (Ord's kangaroo rat)
Lineage: Eukaryota; Metazoa; Chordata; Mammalia; Rodentia; Heteromyidae
Rfam family: tRNA
About the family: Transfer RNA (tRNA) molecules are approximately 80 nucleotides in length.
Source: Rfam by way of RNAcentral
UGGCUCAGUGGUAGAGUGCUUGUCUUGCAUGCAUGAGGCCCUGAGUUCGAUUCCUCAG